GAUGAAGAACGCAGCGAAAUGCGAUAAGUAAUGUGAAUUGCAGAAUUCAGUGAAUCAUCGAAUCUUUGAACGCACAUUGCGCCCGCUAGUAUUCUGGCGGGCAUGCCUGUCCGAGCGUCAUUUCAACCCUCAAGCCCCCGGGCUUGGUGUUGGGGAUCGGCGAGCCUCCGCGCCCGCCGUCCCCUAAAUCUAGUGGCGGUCUCGCUGUAGCUUCCUCUGCGUAGUAGCACACCUCGCACUGGGAAACAGCGCGGCCACGCCGUUAAACCCCCAACUUCUGAACGUUUGACCUCGGAUCAGGUAGGAAUACCCGCUCAACUUAAGCAUAUCAAUAAGCGGAGGA
RNAcentral lists this unclassified non-coding RNA (343 nucleotides) under soil metagenome. RNAcentral's name for it is "partial contains 5.8S ribosomal RNA, internal transcribed spacer 2, and large subunit ribosomal RNA". The stretch from base 1 to 120 matches the Rfam family "5.8S ribosomal RNA", at positions 35 to 154 of the family's 154-position model. The record is from RNAcentral.